UAGAUCAGAAGCGAGAAUGUUGACAUGAGUAGCGACAAACAGGGUGAGAAACCCUGUCGCCGAAAGUCCAAGGGUUCCUGCUUAAAGCUAAUCUGAGCAGGGUAAGCCGGCCCCUAAGGCGAGGCCGAAAGGCGUAGUCGAUGGGAACCAGGUUAAUAUUCCUGGGCCAGUGGGAUGUGACGGAUCGCAGAUGUAGUUUGCCCUUAUCGGAUUGGGUGGGCUGCUGAGCGGUUCCUGGAAAUAGCCCCACAUCAGACCGUACCCUAAACCGACACAGGUGGACUGGUAGAGUAUACCAAGGCGCUUGAGAGAACCACGUUAAAGGAACUCGGCAAAAUGCCUCCGUAAGUUCGCGAGAAGGAGGCCCCGUCUGUAGGCAACUAUGGGCGGGGGGCACAAACUAGGGGGUGGCGACUGUUUACUUAAAACACAGGGCUGUGCGAAGCCGUAAGGCGACGUAUACAGUCUGACGCCUGCCCGGUGCUGGAAGAUUAAGAGGAGGGGUGCAAGCUCUGAAUUGAAGUCCCAGUAAACGGCGGCCGUAACAAUAACGGUCCUAAGGUAGCGAAAUUCCUUGUCGGGUAAGUUCCGACCUGCACGAAUGGCGUAACGAUCUCCCCGCUGUCCCUAACGUGGACUCAGCGAAAUUGAACUGUGUGUCAAGAUGCACACUACCCGCGGUUAGACGGAAAGACCCCAUGAACCUUUACUCCAGCUUUGCACUGGUAUCAGGAUUGUGAUGUGCAGGAUAGGUGGUAGGCAAAUCGGGGACGCCAGUCUUCGUGGAGCCUCCCUUGAGAUACCACCCUUCGCCAUCUUGAUAUCUAACCGCGGCCCGUUAUCCGGGUCCGGGACCCUGCAUGGUGGGGAGUUUGACUGGGGCGGUCGCCUCCCAAACAGUAACGGAGGCGCGCGAUGGUUGGCUCAGACCGGUCGGAAAUCGGUCGUUGAGUGCAAUGGCAGAAGCCAGCCUGACUGCAAGACUGACAAGUCGAGCAGAGACGAAAGUCGGUCAUAGUGAUCCGGUGGUCCCAAGUGGGAGGGCCAUCGCUCAACGGAUAAAAGGUACUCUGGGGAUAACAGGCUGAUGAUGCCCAAGAGUCCAUAUCGACGGCAUCGUUUGGCACCUCGAUGUCGGCUCAUCUCAUCCUGGGGCUGGAGCAGGUCCCAAGGGUAUGGCUGUUCGCCAUUUAAAGAGGUACGUGAGCUGGGUUUAGAACGUCGUGAGACAGUUCGGUCCCUAUCUGCCGUGGGUGCAGGAGACUUGAGAAGAGUUGACCCUAGUACGAGAGGACCGGGUUGAACGAACCACUGGUGGACCAGUUAUCGUGCCAACGGUAGUGCUGGGUAGCUAUGUUCGGACAGGAUAACCGCUGAAGGCAUCUAAGCGGGAAGCCCCCUUCAAAACAAGGUCUCCCUUGAGGGCCGUGGAAGACGACCACGUCGAUAGGCCAGA
Molecule: ribosomal RNA, 1456 nt
Filed under: metagenome
Description: bacterial LSU rRNA
Rfam family: Bacterial large subunit ribosomal RNA
Source: RNAcentral